Non-coding RNA from Gossypium arboreum, 145 nucleotides. Lineage: Eukaryota; Viridiplantae; Streptophyta; Magnoliopsida; Malvales; Malvaceae. The record is from Rfam.
UAUUACAAAAUUAAUCUAUUUAUAUAAUUAAAAACUCACGUGACUGAUAGAAUAACUAAACAAUUACAUGUGGUGUGUUAUGCGUACCUCAUAUUGACGUAUAAGGAUUAAUUUUUAACAAUAGAAAUGAAUGAAAUUUUUAACA